Molecule: ribosomal RNA, 548 nt
Filed under: Lygus borealis
Lineage: Eukaryota; Metazoa; Arthropoda; Insecta; Hemiptera; Miridae
Description: partial 16S ribosomal RNA
Rfam family: Bacterial large subunit ribosomal RNA
Source: RNAcentral
CGCCUGUUUAACAAAAACAUGGUCUUUUGUUUAUAUAAAAGAUCUAACCUGCCCUAUGAUUUAUUUUAAAUGGCUGCAGUAUUUUGACUGUACAAAGGUAGCAUAAUCAUUUGUCUUUUAAUUGAAGGCUGGUAUGAAUGGUUGGAUGAAAAAUAUACUUUCUUUAUUUUAUAAAAAUAAAUUAACUUUUUAGUCAAAAGGCUAAGAUUUUAUUGUAGGACGAGAAGACCCUAUAGAACUUUAUUUUCUUUUUAUAUAACUUUUUUAGUUUUUAAUAAGUUUAUAUAUUUAUGUUAAUUAUGUUGGGGUGACAGAAAAAAUAAUAUAACUUUUUCUAUUUUUUUCAUUUAUGUAUGUGUUUUUGAUCCUAUAUUAUGGAUAAUAAGAUUAAGUUACCUUAGGGAUAACAGCGUUAUUUUCUUAAAGAGUUCUUAUCGAUAAGAAAGUUUGCGACCUCGAUGUUGGAUUAAAAUAAGUGAUAGGGGCAGAAUAUUAUUUACUAGGUCUGUUCGACCUUUAAAUUUUUACGUGAUCUGAGUUCAGACCGG